UGUGGGGUCCAUUCCACGGAUUCCGUGACGCAGCUAACGCAUUAAGUUCCCCGCCUGGGGAGUACGGCCGCAAGGCUAAAACUCAAAGGAAUUGACGGGGACCCGCACAAGCGGCGGAGCAUGCGGAUUAAUUCGAUGCAACGCGAAGAACCUUACCAAGGCUUGACAUAUACGAGAACGCUGCAGAAAUGUAGAACUCUUUGGACACUCGUAAACAGGUGGUGCAUGGUUGUCGUCAGCUCGUGUCGUGAGAUGUUGGGUUAAGUCCCGCAACGAGCGCAACCCUCGUUCUAUGUUGCCAGCACGUAAUGGUGGGAACUCAUGGGAUACUGCCGGGGUCAACUCGGAGGAAGGUGGGGAUGACGUCAAAUCAUCAUGCCCCUUAUGUCUUGGGCUUCACGCAUGCUACAAUGGCCGGUACAAAGGGCUGCAAUACCGUAAGGUGGAGCGAAUCCCAAAAAGCCGGUCCCAGUUCGGAUUGAGGUCUGCAACUCGACCUCAUGAAGUCGGAGUCGCUAGUAAUCGCAGAUCAGCAACGCUGCGGUGAAUACGUUCCCGGGUCUUGUACACACCGCCCGUCAAGUCAUGAAAGUCGGUAACACCUGAAGCCGGUGGCCCAACCCUUGUGGAGGGAGCCGUCGAAGGUGGGGCUG
This 653-nucleotide ribosomal RNA is filed under the name uncultured bacterium. Its description in RNAcentral is "bacterial SSU rRNA". It matches the Rfam family "Bacterial small subunit ribosomal RNA", at positions 821 to 1470 of the family's 1533-position model. The record is from RNAcentral.